Long non-coding RNA from Apis cerana (Asiatic honeybee), 619 nucleotides. RefSeq lists it as uncharacterized. NCBI's taxonomy places the organism in Eukaryota, Metazoa, Arthropoda, Insecta, Hymenoptera, Apidae. The record is from RefSeq and is a predicted model, not a curated record.
AAAUUGUGCAUUCACGAUCGAUACACUACAAGAAAAUAGGAAUAGAAUGCGACAGAAACGGAAUGUAAGCAAGACGAACUUUGGUUACGAACUGGUCAGUCGGCGAGUGGGCAGUUAGGCCCAAGAGGGAGUGAAGAAUGAUAGUUAAUGAAAACCUGGAGAAUCGUGAAUACUAGAUGCAGCCCUGAGUCAGAGUCAGACGGGGAGAAGGAAGAAAGUAAGAAAAGCAGGUAAAGAGAGAGAAAGAGUCCUGUUCCGCGUGCACGCGUACAUAAAUGUUUGAGCGCACUUUUUCUAUGCAACUCGUUUGUGAUCGGAUGAAAACAGGUAGGACCAUCGAUAGACCAUGCAUAAUGAGAACGCGGCAGCGACAUGUUUUUCUUUUUCUAGGUAAAUUAUAGAACUAGCAUAUAUCCACCUACGUGUCGUUGCGAGCCAAGGAACAGCUGACUCGAACAGUCUUCCCUAUUACGGCGCGAUUGAGAGAUUCAAUACUUUUAGCAUUCUCGAAUCGUUGCAGCAGAUUGAAAAAAGAUUUUUAAUGAAUUAAUGCGAUUGCUUUAAAAAAAAAAAUUUACACUUGUUGACAAUUUAUGAAAUAUAUCUAUUUAUUUAUUAA